This 2623-nucleotide long non-coding RNA is filed under the name Marmota monax (woodchuck). The record is from RNAcentral. Lineage: Eukaryota; Metazoa; Chordata; Mammalia; Rodentia; Sciuridae.
GAGGUCCCCGCACCGCCGGGAGCUCGGCGCCCCAACACCGCCAGCCUCCGGGACUGACUGUGGUGGGAGCACCGUGCCUUCCCAGGCUCGGCGGCCUCGAGGGCCGCAGGGCCCCGGGGCCUCUGUGCCGGUGGCCUGGGCAAGCCGCUGGCCCCAGAGCGGAACGCUGGCCUCAGACCGAGUUGGCCCCGCGCGACCACAGAUCCACCCGGGUCAAAGCCCUGUCCUCCCCACGGCCUCCCCUGCAAGCCCAGCCAGCUCUGUCCCCCGUGCGGUUCCGAGUGCUGAGGACCUCUGCGAGCCUCGUUUCUCCAUCCACACCGCGUGGCACCCAGGCAGUAGCGCGAGGAAUGUGAGCUAAUGACGAGGCGGACCGACCCCACCGUGAACGUCCGCCGUGAACCGGGGGUCGGUCCUGCGAUCUUAGUGAAUACGACAACCUCUCUGCCGCAGUUUUCUCUAAAGUGGGGCUAACUUGACGUAGAUAGACUUGAAGAUAGGAUCCACUUAUAUUUGCAAGAAUGCACCCAAGCUCAGAAGUGUUGGCGACAGCAGGGAGAGGUGCAGGUUUGGAGAGCCCUGGAAAAGGCUUUCCCAUUUUACUCUGUACGUUUGGAUUUUUUAACCACAUGCAUUGUCAAUGUAUUCAGGUUAAAAAUAAGUAAUAUAUGUAAAACGGCGGGCAUAGUGGAGAUGAUAAAUGGUUACUAUUUUUUUUUAAAUUUUGUGUUUUUUGAUACUAAGGAUUGAACCCAGGGGUGCUUUAUCACUGAGCUCCAGCCCUUUUUAUUUUUUAUUUUGAGAUAGGGUCUCAUUGAGUUGCUUAGGGCCUCGCUAAAUUGCUGAGGCUGGCUUUGCACUAGCCAUCCUCCUGAGCAGAUGGGAUUACGGGCAGGUGCCACCGCCCAUAUUAUUUUUAUGAGGUACUGAGGAUCGAACCCAGGGCCUCACAAGUGCUAGGUGACUGCUCUACCGCAGAGCCACAUCCCCAGCCCUACCUUUACAUUUUUAUUUGCCAUUUACUCAUGAGUCCAGUUUUGUUAAAUCUAUUCAGUGCUUUAAAGCUGCUUUUAUUUUAUUUUCUCCUUGGCACUGGGGAUUAAACCUACAGUCUCUCUGCCACUGAGCUACAUUCCUCACCCUUUUUAUUUUUAUUUUGAAUCAGGGGCUCACUAAAUUGCCUAGGCUGGCUUCUAAUUUGCAAUCCUCCUGCAUCAGCCUCCCAAGUAGCUGGGUUUAUAGGCCAUGUACCACUGCAGGCAGUGUAACUGCUUAUUUGUAAGUGACUUGAACACGCUUGCCUGUAAUACCAGAUGGCAAAUUUAAAGCCAGGCUCUACAACCCCCUCUACACCCCCCCCCAAGGCCCUAAGUAACCAGUAAGAACUUGUCUCUAAAUUUAAAUAUAUAGGUAUGUAUAUAAAAGGGUUAAGGAUGCAGCUCAGUGAUUAAGCUCCCCUGAAUUCAAUGCCAGGUAUCAAAACUAAAUAAAUAAAUGUGAUUUGGAACCAGCAUGGUGGGACAUACCUGUAACCCAGUAACUUGAGAGGCUGAAGCAAGAGGAUUGAAAACUCCAGGCCAGCCUCAGCAAUUUAAAAAGGAUGUGGCUCAGUGGGAAAGAACCCUGGGUUAAAUCUCUGAUAAUAAAAAAGGUUAAAAAUAAAAAAAUAAAAUAAAAUAAAAGUGGCUUGGAGGUCAGUUAAUCCUGGGCUCGGCAGAAGCAGAUAUUAGGUCUAAGAAUAUGAUGGGUGAAAAUAUAAAAUGCUUUUAGGGUGGGGAUAUAGCUCAGUGGCAGAGCAAGUUCCUCUGUUUGAUCCCCAGCAAAAGAACAGCUUUUAUUUUACUCAUUUUGCAGUAUUAGGAAUAAAACUCCAAAACAGAGCAAUACCCCUAGCACUUCUUUUUUAUUUUUUUGAGACAGUGUCUUGAUAAAUACCAAGCCUGACCUUGAACUUGCUAUCCUACUGCCUCAACUGGGUUUGUUUUUUUGUUUUUGUGGCACUCGGGAUUGAACCCAGGGGUGUUCUACCACUGAGCUACGCUCCCAGAUCUUUUUAUGAUUAUGAGACAGGGUCUUGCUAAAUUGCUGAGGCCGGCCUGGAACUUGCCAUCCUUCUACCUCAGCAACCCCCUCUACACCUGCCCCCCCCCCCAGUCAUUGGGAUUACGGGUGUGCACCACCAUGCCUAGCUUCCCGGGGUUUUUAUUUUUCAAGAUACUCUGGUUAGUAAUAUGACAAAUUACUAAAAGCAAACAACAACAAAACUUCAAACAGGAAGCACAUCACAAAUAGGACUGCGGGCCACAUUUACUGCAGGCCUUUAUUGGUGCCUCUCAAAAGGUACUUGGGUUCUGGUCUUCCUUUUUCCCAAAGGGCUUGCGAAGAAACGGGUUAAUGACCCACUCCCAGCAGGGUGGUUUAUCAGGGACUCCUGGUGCUACACAGUCCCAACCCAGAGGCAUAUUUAUAGUUCUGGGUUCUGAGGGGAAGCCCCUUUGCCCAGUUCUCAGAGUACAAUGCAGACCAAAUGCCUCCUGGGAGGCCAAGGGAGAUAUUUUAGGUUAGGUAGCUUUCAGUGCUGCCCUGUCACAGCCUGUCAGCUAACACUUAUCUAGAAGGAGGC